GACGAACGCUGGCGGCGUGCUUAACACAUGCAAGUCGAACGGAAAGGCCCUGCUUUUGUGGGGUGCUCGAGUGGCGAACGGGUGAGUAACACGUGAGUAACCUGCCCUUGACUUUGGGAUAACUUCAGGAAACUGGGGCUAAUACCGGAUAGGAGCUCCUGCUGCAUGGUGGGGGUUGGAAAGUUUCGGCGGUUGGGGAUGGACUCGCGGCUUAUCAGCUUGUUGGUGGGGUAGUGGCUUACCAAGGCUUUGACGGGUAGCCGGCCUGAGAGGGUGACCGGCGACACUAGAGCUGAGCCACGGUCCAGACUCCUGAGGGAGGCAGCAGAAGGGAAUCUGACGCAAUGGGCGAAAGCAUGACGGAGCAACGCCGAGUGAGUGAUGAAGGUCUUCGGAUCGGAAUGCUCUGUUAUUAGGGAAGAACAAAUGUGUAAGUAACUAUGCACGUCGUGACGGUAACUAAUCAGAAAGCCACGGCUAACUACGUG
Molecule: ribosomal RNA, 488 nt
Filed under: uncultured bacterium
Lineage: Bacteria
Description: partial 16S ribosomal RNA
Rfam family: Bacterial small subunit ribosomal RNA
Source: RNAcentral